This 285-nucleotide unclassified non-coding RNA is filed under the name Hevea brasiliensis (rubber tree). The record is from RNAcentral. Lineage: Eukaryota; Viridiplantae; Streptophyta; Magnoliopsida; Malpighiales; Euphorbiaceae.
UGACUCAAUAAAUCACAUGAAUGUGUGAAUAGGACAUUAGUCCUCAUUAUCAGAGAUAGGAAAAAUGCUUUGAGUACAAUGGUACUUCUGAACAAUUGAUGUGAAAUGUGAUCUGUUUGAUGAUAUACUGAAUAAUUGUGACUUAGAAAUUUAUGUUCCCUCUAGGAACAGAAUCAAGUGUGACAACCUGAAAUUGAAACUUAUAAUUAAAUAAUGACACUGUAAUACCUAUUAAUGUUUAAUUGUACUUAUGUGCCCUUAUAUUGCCUAGACACGUGUGUCAGA